Molecule: ribosomal RNA, 734 nt
Filed under: uncultured Actinomyces sp.
Lineage: Bacteria; Bacillati; Actinomycetota; Actinomycetes; Actinomycetales; Actinomycetaceae
Description: bacterial SSU rRNA
Rfam family: Bacterial small subunit ribosomal RNA (bases 1-519)
Source: RNAcentral
GACGAACGCUGGCGGCGCGCUUAACACAUGCAAGUCGAGCGAUGAAAUCUUGACAGAACCCUUCGGGGUGAAGAUAAGAUGGAUUAGCGGCGGACGGGUGAGUAACACGUGAGUAACCUGCCUUAGACAUUGGGAUAGCCUCGGGAAACCGGGAUUAAUACCAAAUGAAAUCACAUAUGCACAUGCAUAAAUGAUCAAAGCUCCGGCGGUCUAAGAUGGACUCGCGUCCCAUUAGCUAGUUGGUGAGGUAACGGCCCACCAAGGCGACGAUGGGUAGCCGGCCUGAGAGGGUGAACGGCCACAUUGGAACUGAGAAACGGUCCAGACUCCUACGGGAGGCAGCAGUGGGGAAUAUUGCACUAUGGAGGGAACUCUGGUGCAGCGACGCCGCGUGAACGAAGAAGGCUUUCUAGUCGUAUUUUCUUUUAUUUGGGAAGUAAUUGACUGGUACCAUAAAAAAAAGCCCCGUCUAACUACGUGCCAUCGGCCUCGGUUUUAUUGAGGGGUGCUAGUGUUGUCCUGAAUCACGGUGCGGAAGUGUUGCGCAGUGUUGAAUGCAUGUCUGGGUGAAAAUGCUGUGGGUUUCUACUGGUGUCUUGUGAACUGGUUAUUGGAUGGAGUGGAUGGAUGUUUGUUUGUGUUUGUUGGGUGUGUGUGGGUGUUUUGUGUGUAUGUGGGGUUGUGUUUGUGUGUUUGUGAGUGUGAUGAAUGAUGAUGUGAGUGCUGGUUGUGAU